GUGCUUAACACAUGCAAGUCGAACGGAAAGGCCCUUCGGGGUACUCGAGUGGCGAACGGGUGAGUAACACGUGGGUGAUCUGCCCUGCACUUUGGGAUAAGCCUGGGAAACUGGGUCUAAUACCGAAUACACCCUUCUGGCUGCAUGGUCUGGGAGGGGAAAGCUUUUGCGGUGUGGGAUGGGCCCGCGGCCUAUCAGCUUGUUGGUGAGGUUACGGCUCACCAAGGCGACGACGGGUAGCCGGCCUGAGAGGGUGACCGGCCACACUGGGACUGAGAUACGGCCCAGACUCCUACGGGAGGCAGCAGUGGGGAAUAUUGCACAAUGGGCGCAAGCCUGAUGCAGCGACGCCGCGUGAGGGAUGACGGCCUUCGGGUUGUAAACCUCUUUCGCCAGGGACGAAGCGCAAGUGACGGUACCUGGAGAAGAAGGACCGGCCAACUACGUGCCAGCAGCCGCGGUAAUACGUAGGGUCCGAGCGUUGUCCGGAAUUACUGGGCGUAAAGAGCUCGUAGGUGGUUUGUCGCGUUGUUCGUGAAAUC
This 542-nucleotide ribosomal RNA is filed under the name Mycolicibacterium vaccae. RNAcentral describes it as "bacterial SSU rRNA". It matches the Rfam family "Bacterial small subunit ribosomal RNA", at positions 44 to 601 of the family's 1533-position model. The record is from RNAcentral. Lineage: Bacteria; Bacillati; Actinomycetota; Actinomycetes; Mycobacteriales; Mycobacteriaceae.